GCGUGAAUGGUGUAAUGGUAACAUUGGGUCUUCCCACUAUUCCCAGAUGUAAUAGUCUGGUCUUCAAGUGUUUGGCCUAGCCCCGGGUUCGAUUCCCGGCUUACGCA
Molecule: non-coding RNA, 107 nt
Organism: Neolentinus lepideus HHB14362 ss-1
Lineage: Eukaryota; Fungi; Basidiomycota; Agaricomycetes; Gloeophyllales; Gloeophyllaceae
Source: the annotation of a GenBank genome assembly